This 474-nucleotide ribosomal RNA is filed under the name uncultured organism. RNAcentral describes it as "partial 16S ribosomal RNA". It matches the Rfam family "Bacterial small subunit ribosomal RNA", at positions 333 to 798 of the family's 1533-position model. The record is from RNAcentral.
ACACUCCUGCGGGAGGCAGCAGUGGGGAAUUUUGGACAAUGGGCGAAAGCCUGAUCCAGCAAUGCCGCGUGAGUGAAGAAGGCCUUCGGGUUGUAAAGCUCUUUUGUCAGGGAAGAAACGGUGAGAGCUAAUAUCUCUUGCUAAUGACGGUACCUGAAGAAUAAGCACCGGCUAACUACGUGCCAGCAGCCGCGGUAAUACGUAGGGUGCAAGCGUUAAUAGGAAUUACUGGGCGUAAAGCGUGCGCAGGCGGUUUUGUAAGUCUGAUGUGAAAUCCCCGGGCUCAACCUGGGAAUUGCAUUGGAGACUGCAAGGCUAGAAUCUGGCAGAGGGGGGUAGAAUUCCACGUGUAGCAGUGAAAUGCGUAGAUAUGUGGAGGAACACCGAUGGCGAAGGCAGCCCCCUGGGUCAAGAUUGACGCUCAUGCACGAAAGCGUGGGGAGCAAACAGGAUUAGAUACCCGAGUAGUCCCAU